Drosophila ananassae is the source of this 588-nucleotide long non-coding RNA. RefSeq lists it as uncharacterized. The record is from RefSeq and is a predicted model, not a curated record. The transcript is spliced from 2 exons. Lineage: Eukaryota; Metazoa; Arthropoda; Insecta; Diptera; Drosophilidae.
CAAGAUUCCAGCACGCACAUACUAACAAAAACAACAUGAACCAAGCCUGUGUUUGCCAAUAGGCAGUGGUUGGAAACGCGGCAGAAAAGAGCGCAACUCCGCAAGAUAAGCUGGGCUUACAAGGUGGUGUGAGAGGCUCUUCCUCUUCUUGGCUCACUCAAUUACCAACGGGAAUAAAGAACUGCCCACGUAGAAUGCACCACUCACCUGCUUAUUUAUUCCUUUUGGCCAAUGUCAUGUUAAGUAAGCUUUCCACAUCUGCUAAAAUAUAUAUUUAUUUUAGAUAUUUAAAUCCGUAGGUUUUGCUCUUAAGGGCGAGACUCCGAGCAAAAGCAACAGGCGACGACGACUAACUGGCUGAUACUUGAGGAACGUAAACGCGUUUUGGUCUAAACGAGAGAGAGAACCUGUGUGAGUGUGCGUGGGUCGCUUACCUGCGCCUCACGCGUGACACGCAGGUAAACCUUAUCGAUAUCAGUCUUUAACCCUUAUACGUUUAGUUCUCAUGGUUUGCUGGAUACCCUUCGUAAAUGUUAAAUGGACAGUAUCUAAAAUAAAAUCAAAAAUACUUUCCCGCCUUCCCGAAAU